UACGAGUGGUGCAAGCGUUGUUCGGAAUCACUGGGCAUAAAGGGCGCGUAGGCGGCGAAGCAAGUCGGAAGUGAAAUGCCUGGGCUUACCCGAGGCACAGCUUCCGAUACUGCAUUGCUGGAGUGCGGGAGGGGAAGACGGAAUUCCAGGUGGAGCGGUGAAAUGCGUAGAUAUCUGGAGGAACACCGGAGGCGAAAGCGGUCUUCUGGCCCGUAACUGACGCUGAGUGCGCGAAAGCUAGGGGAGCAAACAGG
This 254-nucleotide ribosomal RNA is filed under the name uncultured bacterium. RNAcentral's name for it is "partial 16S ribosomal RNA". It matches the Rfam family "Bacterial small subunit ribosomal RNA", at positions 524 to 776 of the family's 1533-position model. The record is from RNAcentral.